Molecule: non-coding RNA, 2199 nt
Organism: Odocoileus virginianus texanus
Lineage: Eukaryota; Metazoa; Chordata; Mammalia; Artiodactyla; Cervidae
Source: RefSeq, a predicted model, not a curated record
CUUUUGCUCCUUUUAAAAUCAAGUUGCCUGUUUUCUUAUUGUUCAGUUAUGAGAGUUCAUUAUACAUUCUGGAUAUGAAUCCUGUGUUGGUAACAUGGUCUUGUGGCAAUCAGCGAAAGCUCCCUGGAAGAAGUGUCCUUUGAACUGAUCCUCAAGAACCAGAAGGACUUCCAGAAGCUGAGAUGGUGGUGGUGAGGAGGCUGAGGAACCACAGAUUUUGUCUGAAAGCUUGUUAUUUCUUUCCUCUUCCUCGUUCCAUCCCUCCCUCUUCAGCUGGUAGUCUCUUCUCCCAGAGUCUCUCUUUCCUUUCCCGACCUCCUCCUUUUCCCUCCUCACCCACUGGAUGCCUCCUUCUGGUGUCCUUGGCCUCACAAGGUCGCUGACUGCUGGGUUAUGAGGCGCUCCUCUCGGGCUGCAGGGUCACCUUGUCGCCCCUCGAUGGGGACUCUGUACCGGUUCCAAAUGGAGGCGGGAUGCUGUAUCCAGGAUUCUUCCCUUGCCGUUCAGGGAGAGAUGGAUUUAGUGCCGGUCGCUUUCACCACAAAUUAUCGAGCGGGCUUCCAUGUGGAUGUCAGGCCUGUGUUAGGGCAACAGCUGUACCAGCUCGACCUUGUUCAGUUAAUAAUUUACUGCCGGGAAAUGGGAGUUACAUGGGCCAGAAGGCAUAUUUUGUGUGAACCUUGGGACACCUCUGACAGCAAUUUGUGUAAUUUGUCCGGGAAGAGCCUAAAGCUAUCUGAAUUCUAAUGUUCUGCCUGUCACACUGACCCUUAGACCCCUUUUAUUAACAUGGUUGGCUUUGAUUUAUAUUUAUUUUAUUCCUUUGGUUUCUCUUCUGAUCUCAUGACUGGAGCAGUGGUGAGUGUGGAAAAUGGCUGUGUGAGGAAUUAUGUUCCCGGUGUCCUUAUUCGAAGAAAUCCACCAGCAGCUGUGGUGUGGGUUUUCUCUGUUUGUAUGUAAAAGGAACUCAUACUUGAUUUAAAGCUCUGCUAUUACCAUUUUUGGAAUUCUUAUUAAUUUAUGAACAAUGGGUUGCCAUGUUGUAUUAGGUCCUGAAAAUUAUGUACCUGCUCCUACAGCUAUGCCUUGGUUUUUGAUGUUGAACUUCAGUGUCCCUUCAAGGUCAUUGUGUCCUUUCUCCUGCUUCCUGGACCAUCCUGAAAUUGUGUCGAAGACCCUCAGGGAGCCUAUGGUGACUCUUUCCAAGAAUCAUACAACCCUACCAGUCAAAAUAUCUUAAAACACAGACACAGGGCUGGGAACUGGUGUUUCUGCUCUCUUGGCAUCCCAGUUUCUCUACCUAGAAGAUUCUUUCCAAGACUGUUCAUCACUGACUCCACCAGCUUCUAGAAAACUGCCAUUUCCAAAGAGGCAACUGUCCAACCUGAUUUAGGAUCAAGCUUCUUCCAAGUUCUCAUCUUGGCACCUCUUGAUCCACGGUGGAUGGAAGCUCUUGCAAUUUAAGGAACAAAGCCAGUUUCUCAGCUCUCCGGGUUUGAGGUGAUCAACCGAAGGACAGCUGCACUGCUGAAGCAUUUAGCCUCCACUGCCCAGUUGCUCUGCUGGAUUGCUGACUUGAAUGACCAAAUGCUCAGAGCUGCUCUGAGACCUGGAAUAGGUCUGAGUUCUCAUUAGCCUGAAAGCCCAAGGGGAUCUCAGGGUGAUCUCGGCUGACCUGGAAGAGUCUGACUUAUGGAACAUUUAUCUUCCCAUGGCAAUUAGUCUAUUUAUUUCCUAAAGAUUGGGUCUGGUUGGAAUCCAGCCAGGACCUCCAGUUGUCCAAGGCAGAUCUGAGUUAAGAGAUUUGCACCUAGCUGAUUCUGCCUGUCCAAAAGGAACCGAAGCAUCUGUUGUGUGCCUGGGGAGUCAGUGACAGAUGCCUCCUAGGAGGUGCAGGAAGAGCUCCUGCAACUUCAGCUGGAGAUUCCCUAAGUGACAGCAACGUCUCUGCCUCCAUUAACAUUUUGAUCUAAUUUCUGCAUGUGAUUUCUGAACUGGUAUUCUUCUAGUGACAAGGGAAUAAAGCAAUGACAGGCCUCAAUCAUCUUCAUGUUCUCCCUGGAAGAAAUCAUGUUUUCUGCUCCUGAGAUUGUCUACUAAUAGAAGGGCAGGGUUUUCACCUCCACAGGACUUAGGCAGUGGAAUUCCUCCUGCUUCCUUGAAUUAGCUUCAUAUGGCAUUAAAAGUAGCAAAAAGGGA